UACGUAGGGUGCGAGCGUUAAUCGGAAUUACUGGGCGUAAAGCGUGCGCAGGCGGUUCGCAAAGUCUGAUGUGAAAGCCCCGGGCUCAACCUGGGAACUGCAUUGGAAACUAACGGGCUCGAGUGUGGCAGAGGGGGGUGGAAUUCCACGUGUAGCAGUGAAAUGCGUAGAGAUGUGGAGGAACACCGAUGGCGAAGGCAGCCCCCUGGGCUAACACUGACGCUCAUGCACGAAAGCGUGGGGAGCAAACAGG
This 253-nucleotide ribosomal RNA is filed under the name uncultured bacterium. Its description in RNAcentral is "partial 16S ribosomal RNA". It matches the Rfam family "Bacterial small subunit ribosomal RNA", at positions 524 to 776 of the family's 1533-position model. The record is from RNAcentral.